GGGAGUGUAGCUCAGCUUGGGAGAGCGGUGGUCUCCAAAACCAUAGGUCGGGGGUUCGAAUCCUCCCACUCCCGC
RNAcentral lists this transfer RNA (75 nucleotides) under subsurface metagenome. RNAcentral describes it as "tRNA-Trp". It matches the Rfam family "tRNA". From Rfam's summary of the family: Transfer RNA (tRNA) molecules are approximately 80 nucleotides in length. The record is from RNAcentral.